CACAACCUGAAAGUUUAUGGAUCGGUGAGGCCUUGUCUCCGCAUAAGCAUGUUUUCUGGACUUUGGCUGAAGCUAAAUUCCUGACUUCUGAAAGAGGGGUGGGUGUGGACUUCCAGCAGGAAUAGCCAGUGGGAAGGAAGUAAUAUUCAUUAAGAGUGUCUCAUGCAAGCAGUGCGGGGCUAAGCAUGCUCAGUGUAAAUUCUCCUGGAGCCUGUCAAGCUAUGUUUGAACUCGUUCCAGGAUAGUGGAUUUACUUUUUUUUCCCCACCAGGAAGAAUACUCGAUUAGACUGCAUUUUGCCUUGCUUUUCCUUCUCCCUUUCUCUCUCUUUCUUUCUUUCUUUCUUUCUUUCUUUCUUUCUUUCUUUCUUUCUUUCUUUCUUUCUUUCUUUCUUUCUUUUUCUUUCUCUCUCUCUCUCUCUUUCUUUCUUUCCUUUCUUUUCUUUCUUUCCUCUUUCUCUUUCCUUCUUUCUUUUUUUCUUCUUUCUUUCCUUCCUUCCUUCCAUCUUUCUUUUCUUUCUUUCCAUUUUUUUUUUCCUCCAGAAGAAUGGAAACAGUAUUCUUUUCCGAUCAGUUCAGUAAUACAAUGUCCUUCAGUGUCCAUAUGAGCAUUUCAGUGGAGAAGAAAAGAAACUUUGCUACCUGGGAACUGAAGACUACUUAGUGAAGAUCCCGGUGUUACACAUCCAAUCGUUCACCUCCUUCCAAGACUAUGACAUUCCAGGAAACCUUCACUGCUAAGAGGAACUAAGAUCUAGAGUAUCUCCUCGAGGAAGUACAACUGACUUGUCUUUGGACAAAAUUGAGAAGAACUCAUAAACUUGGCUUCCUCGCUUCUGCUCCUCAGACGCGCGUGGAUGAUUUGAAGAUAUUAGCCUAACAAGAUGGAAGCAGGUUUAAAAUUUUACAUAAGAAGUUACCUUUUUCAGUUGUGUUGAUGUUCCUUUCAGCUGGUCCUAUAGUACCCCUCCUCAGGAAUGUCUCCCCAGUGCAAGGACAAAGACUGAAGAGACUGCUAUAUUGAUGGACUCUCAAGCCAACUAUGAAGUUGAAACAAAGAAAGUGAUCACCUGAAGACACCUCCUCUGCUAAGAAACACCCCCAAAUUGUGCAGCUUCUGCCACUAGAACUCUCAGAACAAGAGACAAUCUUUUCAAGAAACAGAAAAACUCAAUAAUGACAUCUAGAUUUUCAUGAGCCAAGAACUUUCCCUUCCUCAUGUGUAUUCCUCUGUUUGUACUUAAAUUCAUGUGACAUUCAUUUUUUUCCUAGUAUGGAUAUGCUUAUUAAUGCACUUGUUUCAAAAUCCCAAAUUGCACAAAUGUGUUAAUAUUUUAAGAAACAAAAUGAAUCCUACAAGGAGAAUGAUUUUUAGCCACACAUAGGGUUGGAUCUUGAGAGUGACCUACAGAAUAAAAGUACUUUUAAAAUAAAGUAGUCAGAGGCUAUUCAAAGGGUAAAAUAAUCAUAGUACCACAUUGGUCCACUUGACACUAACCAAUCGAUCAUUUUUUUUUAAUCAAGAAAGCUAGAUUCUAUCAGAUAAAAUCACUGCUUCUAAAGAGUUUAAAUCUAGUUAGAAAAAGUUAUAGAAAUGUUUGCAAAGAUAAGUAACAGAUAGAGUCAGUAGAGGAUAAGAUCAAAAACAAAACCAAGCAAAAGAUGAGUUCAGGGGAGUUUGCCAUCAAGUUGGCAAAACUGACUUACUUAGGGAAGAAAGUUAUAAAACAGGAAAAUAUGAGAUGAACCUUGAGUGAUGUGGAAGAUUUAGAUAAAUGGAAAGGAAGGAGAAAAUGGAGUUCUUUAGGUGGUUGUAAUUGGAGGAGGAAAUGAAUACACACAUCUUGUUGACUUAAACCCAGACAUUCAGCAGCUCUCUAUACAUAUCUGGAAAAGACUGCACAGUCACCUCCUGUCUCUCACCCCAGGUAUUACUUAGAAUUAUUAUCAUAUUUCCCUUCCUUUAAAGUAAGUAAGGGUGAUUGGUGACAAUAUGGAGAACUAUGAUUUUUCCAUUAACCUAAUAAUAAUUGGUAUUUAUUGAGUUCUGUUAAGCAUUUUACAUAUUAACUCACUUAAGCCUUUCAACAGCCUUGCAAAAUAGGUAUUAUUAUCCCCAUUUUACAGGCAAGAAAACUGAGGUUUAAGUAACUUGCCGAAGUGCCAUAUACAGGGCUCACAUUCAGUAUUGCAGUUGCAAAGCUCAUGAUCUAUAGUGCCAAGUUGCAAUAUUGUAGUCAAUGUCACAAUUAUUACCCCUUUUUAUAUUCCUUGAUAUUUUUCCAUGGCAAACAAUUAGCUAUUUCAUUUAAUAAUCACCUAAAACUUUUCAGUCUUCUGAUUAAAAUUACGCUGGAGUGAUAGAAUGUAUUUUCAUGAUAGAAAUUGGGAAAAAAAAUGGGGAAUGAAGUUUAUCAGCAUUUCAGACUUGUUUUUUUUUUUUUUUUUUGCAAGACUUUGAUGAGAUUGUUCACUUUUGUCUAUGUAAAAUCCCAAAUCCUUGAGAAUAAAAAAGGGGGAGGUUUAAGUCACUUGUUGCAAUGCCCUUUUUAAUAGAGGCAAUAAAUCUAAAGGCCAUAAAUUUAGAGUGACUUACAGAAGAUCGAACUUUGGAGUGUGGCAGAGUAAGGGAUGGAAACCGGGCCCUCCAGUUCACUAUCAGUAGCUUUUGCACUGGUCUGCCCUUCCUAAAUUAAGUAUGCACUUCAAUUUGAUGAGUGGAAACAGUCUAUCUGGGCAGUAACCAGGGAGCUUUGUGCCUAGUAGAUUGCUUCUGUUCUGCACUUCUUUGGUUUCCCACCUCAAUGUAAAAAAUAGCUAGCAAUGAAGUCCAGAAGUUGUCAAUGGUUCAUCCCCAGAAGAAUGCAUAAUGUCCAAAGUUGUAUGUGUAUGAUGUCUUCAAUGGUAUUAAGUUAUUUCAAAUUCUUAGUUCACCUACAUAAAUCAUUUCUAACAAGCAUCUUCUUAACCAACUUUAUGCACAGUGUAUGUUUGUAAGUGCUUCUGCACGAAUGUUUAUACAUGACUGUUUCCAUAGUACUUAUGUUUUUAAAAAUAUUCAGUCAUUUCCUACUAUAAUCCUCAUGUAUCCAUGUAACUGACUCAAAAAUACUUCAGCCACAGAAAGCUAAAACUGAGCAAAUCUCAUUCUUCUUUUCCAUCCCCUUUGCAUGUGGCUGGCAUUUAGUAAUGAUUAAUAAUAUGGCCAGCUGAAUAACAGAGGUUUGAGACACAAUUCUUUCUCAAAGGAGUCAGCUAAGCUGGGUCUACUUAUGGACAAACAUCUAAAUGUGUGGAAGUAUCUGAUAUUUGACAAUGGUAAAUUUCCACUUAGCUAGCUAGCAUUGUCAGACUUCAAUCUCCUCAUGGCUCUGGCCGUCCUGUUUUAAGCAUGAUAAUUGUUGGCCACAUCUCACAUAGUUCUCAUUGAGUGAGUUCAUAAAUAAACAGGGUUUUUUUUUUUUUUUAAAGAGCAGCCAAGCACAAAGUGUGACUUUGUUGACAUUUUAUGUGACUUUGUCAUAUGUUCCUAACCCCCAAUAAAAGCAAUGUUGCAUCAACUGUGAA
RNAcentral lists this long non-coding RNA (3566 nucleotides) under Homo sapiens (human). Its description in RNAcentral is "HSALNT0365439". The record is from RNAcentral. Lineage: Eukaryota; Metazoa; Chordata; Mammalia; Primates; Hominidae.